UAAAGAAGAAGAGCCAAAAAGGAAGACCAUCACAUUUAAGUCAACCACCACAUCUAAAGAAAGUUAUGAGUCAAGAGGAUGAAAGUGAAGAAGAAGCUGAGGACAUGGGGCUGCUAACAAGAAAAUUCAAAAGGUUCAUUAUGAAGAAAAGCUUAAAGAAAUAAGAAGAUGGAGGAGAAGAAAAAAAAGGAAGUGUCACUUGUUACAAUUACAGCAAAAGGGGACACUAUAAACUGAAUUAUCCCCUACUUAAAAAAAAACCCAAAAGAGCAAAAGGAUAGCUAUGAUGGGC
This 292-nucleotide long non-coding RNA is filed under the name Elaeis guineensis (African oil palm). Its description in RNAcentral is "long non-coding RNA (EGUI_LNC052362)". The record is from RNAcentral. Lineage: Eukaryota; Viridiplantae; Streptophyta; Magnoliopsida; Arecales; Arecaceae.